This is a long non-coding RNA of Biomphalaria glabrata, 610 nucleotides long. RefSeq lists it as uncharacterized. The transcript is spliced from 3 exons. NCBI's taxonomy places the organism in Eukaryota, Metazoa, Mollusca, Gastropoda, Planorbidae. The record is from RefSeq and is a predicted model, not a curated record.
AAACAUUUAGGUUUAUGUAUGUAGCCUAUGUGUAAUGAAAUGUGAAAACAAGCAAAUAUCGCGUCGCCCUCAUGACAGGCAGAGAGAAUCUUCUAAGUGAUGUUGUCCAAGGCAUUCUAUGAACGUAGGAAUACGUGUCUGUGAGUUUCCUCAGCCAGCAAAGCUGAUAUGUAGCGGACUUUUUCAAUAAAAAGUAAAUCAGGGCGAUUGUGUGUUGUUAGGUGAGGGGGUGCCUCAUUUGAAAAUAAUGUGUGUAUAUUUUAUCAUUAUUAGUAGGCCUAUAUAGGUUUUAGUAUACUUUUUGAAAAUAUAAAACCGGGUCUACAAACUCCCUUUUAUCGCUGACAGGGCGCCGGGUUUUAUCAAGAAAGUGGUAAUGACUGCAAGAACCUGGCGCACCUAGUUAAUUUGGGUAUAUAAUAUAUGUAUGGUGCACAUAUAAGAAUAAUUUAAGAUUUCUUAAAAAAAAACAAAACAUUUGUAUUAUUACAUUAGUAACUAGAACUCGAAUUUUUAAGAUUUGAAUGAGACAAAUAAACGUACUUGAAUAGCUUGUAACAUUCAGUCUAUGCUUACUGGGUAGAAAAGAAAAACGCAAAAUAAAAAUUAA